GCGGGGGCCGCGCGGCUCAGGCAGUCGGGGCGCGAGGCUGCAGCGGCGGAGCCGGAGUCGGAGCCGGGAGCGCGAGCGGCGGCCGGAUCGCAGCCUGCGGGGCCCGCCGCAGCCAUGGGCAACCGCGGCAUGGAAGAUCUCAUCCCGCUGGUCAACCGGCUGCAAGACGCCUUCUCUGCCAUCGGCCAGAACGCGGACCUCGACCUGCCGCAGAUCGCCGUGGUGGGCGGCCAGAGCGCCGGCAAGAGCUCGGUGCUCGAGAAUUUCGUAGGCAGGGACUUCCUGCCUCGAGGAUCUGGCAUUGUCACCCGACGUCCCCUGGUCUUGCAGCUGGUCAAUGCAACCACAGAAUAUGCCGAGUUCCUGCACUGCAAGGGAAAGAAAUUCACCGACUUCGAGGAGGUGCGCCUUGAGAUCGAGGCCGAGACCGACCGGGUCACCGGCACCAACAAGGGCAUCUCGCCGGUGCCUAUCAACCUCCGCGUCUACUCGCCGCAUGUGCUGAACCUGACCCUGGUGGACCUGCCCGGAAUGACCAAGGUCCCGGUGGGGGACCAACCUCCCGACAUCGAGUUCCAGAUCCGGGACAUGCUUAUGCAGUUUGUCACCAAGGAGAACUGCCUCAUCCUGGCCGUGUCCCCUGCCAACUCUGACCUGGCCAAUUCUGACGCCCUCAAGGUCGCCAAGGAGGUGGACCCCCAGGGCCAGCGCACCAUCGGGGUCAUCACCAAGCUGGACCUGAUGGACGAGGGCACAGAUGCCCGUGACGUGCUGGAGAACAAGCUGCUCCCCCUGCGCAGAGGCUACAUUGGGGUUGUGAACCGGAGCCAGAAGGACAUUGAUGGCAAGAAGGACAUUACCGCCGCCUUGGCUGCUGAACGAAAGUUCUUCCUCUCCCAUCCAUCUUAUCGCCACUUGGCUGACCGUAUGGGCACGCCCUACCUGCAGAAGGUCCUCAAUCAGCAACUGACGAACCACAUCCGGGACACACUGCCUGGGCUGCGGAACAAGCUGCAGAGCCAGCUGCUGUCCAUUGAGAAGGAGGUGGAGGAGUACAAGAACUUCCGCCCUGAUGACCCGGCUCGCAAGACCAAGGCCCUGCUGCAGAUGGUCCAGCAGUUCGCCGUAGACUUUGAGAAGCGCAUUGAGGGCUCAGGAGAUCAGAUCGACACCUAUGAACUGUCAGGGGGAGCCCGCAUUAACCGAAUCUUCCACGAGCGCUUCCCCUUUGAGCUGGUCAAGAUGGAGUUUGACGAGAAGGAACUUCGAAGGGAGAUCAGCUAUGCUAUCAAGAAUAUCCAUGGCAUUAGGACGGGCCUCUUCACACCUGACCUCGCUUUUGAAGCCACAGUGAAAAAGCAGGUGCAGAAGCUCAAAGAGCCCAGUAUCAAGUGUGUGGAUAUGGUAGUCAGUGAGCUCACAGCCACCAUCAGAAAGUGUAGCGAAAAGCUCCAGCAGUACCCGCGGCUGCGGGAGGAGAUGGAGCGCAUUGUGACCACCCACAUCCGGGAGCGCGAGGGCCGCACCAAGGAGCAGGUCAUGCUUCUCAUCGAUAUCGAGCUGGCUUACAUGAACACCAACCAUGAGGACUUCAUAGGCUUUGCCAAUGCUCAGCAGAGGAGUAACCAGAUGAACAAGAAGAAGACUUCAGGGAACCAGGAUGAGAUUCUGGUCAUCCGCAAGGGCUGGCUGACUAUCAAUAAUAUUGGCAUCAUGAAAGGGGGCUCCAAGGAGUACUGGUUUGUGCUGACCGCUGAGAAUCUGUCCUGGUACAAGGAUGAUGAGGAGAAAGAGAAGAAAUACAUGCUGUCUGUGGACAACCUCAAGCUGCGGGACGUGGAGAAGGGCUUCAUGUCGAGCAAGCACAUCUUUGCCCUCUUUAACACGGAACAGAGGAAUGUCUACAAGGAUUAUCGGCAGCUGGAGCUGGCCUGUGAGACACAGGAGGAGGUGGACAGCUGGAAGGCCUCCUUCCUGAGGGCUGGCGUAUACCCUGAGCGUGUUGGGGACAAAGAGAAAGCCAGUGAGACUGAGGAGAAUGGCUCCGACAGCUUCAUGCAUUCCAUGGACCCACAGCUGGAACGGCAAGUGGAGACCAUCCGGAAUCUUGUGGACUCGUACAUGGCCAUUGUCAACAAGACCGUGCGGGACCUCAUGCCCAAAACCAUCAUGCACCUCAUGAUUAACAAUACCAAGGAGUUCAUCUUCUCGGAGCUGCUGGCCAACCUGUACUCGUGUGGGGACCAGAACACGCUGAUGGAGGAGUCGGCGGAGCAGGCACAGCGGCGCGACGAGAUGCUGCGCAUGUACCACGCGCUGAAGGAGGCGCUCAGCAUCAUCGGCGACAUCAAUACGACCACCGUCAGCACGCCCAUGCCCCCGCCCGUGGACGACUCCUGGCUGCAGGUGCAGAGCGUACCGGCCGGACGCAGGUCGCCCACGUCCAGCCCCACGCCGCAGCGCCGAGCCCCCGCCGUGCCCCCAGCCCGGCCCGGGUCGCGGGGCCCUGCUCCUGGGCCUCCGCCUGCUGGGUCCGCCCUGGGGGGGGGCGCCCCCCGUGCCCUCCAGGCCGGGGGCUUCCCCUGACCCUUUCGGCCCUCCCCCUCAGGUGCCCUCGCGCCCCAACCGCGCCCCGCCCGGGGUCCCCAGAAUCACUAUCAGUGACCCCUGAGGAGCGUCAGCCAUGGAAGGGCCCAGCCUCACCUACGCGACCUGCAGCCCCCCGACCAGCUGAGGCUCCCCUCUUAGACUUAUAAGUCUGUGGCCACUGGCAUCUGGCUGCCUGCCCUCCCUGCCUCCCCCAGGGUCAUUUCAGAGGGUCCUGGGUUUUCUGACCACCCAGAAGGGCCUCUGGCGCUCCCUCCAGCCAUGCCUUUUAGUUUCACCCUCCUGGUUCAAGCAGUGUUCUUUCUCUAUCAGGCCUGGUGGCUGUUGCGUGGGGCUCCCCAAGGCAAGGGGUGGCCCUGGGCCGGUGGGUUGGAAGACAGGGUGACCAUAGAAGAGGGAAGCCCGAGGGGGCCGAGCAUCAGCUUGAACUGUGGGUGCCCUGCCUGGGUGCUGUGUGAGAGGCCAGCGUGUGUGGGGUGGGGAGGGCCGCCACAGUCCCCAGGCGAUACCUGUGAAGCUACAGCUCCUCCCUCCAUCUUCCUCCCCUUUUCCUUCCAGCCCCUCUUUUCCAGGAACCUUGCUACACCCACACCUGCACCCUCCCCUCCCCGGCCCUCCCACCUGCUGCGGUGCGGGCCGGCCCCAGCCGGCUGUGUGCUGCACUUGCCUUACCAGCUCUCUCCUCGAUUUUCUCUCUCCCGUUUUCUCUUUGCUUUCUCUCCAACUGCCAGCCGAUCGGGUCAGGCAAGUCCAUCCCGUCCUGAGAGCCCCAGGCCCCCCUUCGACCUCUAAACAGAUCCCUCCUCUUCUCGGAGACCUCCCUUUCCAAGCCUGCCUGGACGGCUGUUCUGUGACUUGACAGUGGCUUCCCUAGCCCCAAAGCCAGCCCCCUUCAUCUGUGACUUAGUCUGUUGUAGUGGUGAGCUGACACCUCCAGGCGUGACCAUUGGUGAAAACUUGUGCCCCUUUUGUGGUAUGCCCUGCCCUGUUCUAUAAAUAUCUAUAAAUACUCAUAUAUAUACACACCUACACAUGGCCGACCGCCUCGCCUCUAGCGCUGGGAAUCAGUCACUGUGCUGUCCUUGUGGAGUCUUGUGGCCCAACUACAAGAGAACGCUGUCCCCUGACAUCCCCCUCUGAAGUGUGCCACCUCCAGUGAGCCUCCCUGUCAUGCCCAGCCUGUGGACAGCCAGCCCCCGCCAUACUUCCCGCCCCCUACCAAGCAUGGGGGUGCUGUGCAGGCAGCCGUGUGGCCUGACAGUCUCUACCAGUCCUGCUGUCCCUCGGCUGAGAAUAAAACCUAUUUCUGGAUGA
Chlorocebus sabaeus (green monkey) is the source of this 3921-nucleotide non-coding RNA. Lineage: Eukaryota; Metazoa; Chordata; Mammalia; Primates; Cercopithecidae. The record is from RefSeq and is a predicted model, not a curated record.